Rana temporaria (common frog) is the source of this 114-nucleotide small nuclear RNA. RefSeq annotates it as U5 spliceosomal RNA. The record is from RefSeq and is a predicted model, not a curated record. The transcript has a single exon. NCBI's taxonomy places the organism in Eukaryota, Metazoa, Chordata, Amphibia, Anura, Ranidae.
AUACUCUGGUUUCUCUUUAGCAUGAAUAAGUCUUUUGCUAUUUACAAAAGAUUUCUGUGGAGAUGAACAGAAAUGAGUUUUGGGGAAUUUUUGAUGCCUGGCUAAUGCCGGGCA